Molecule: ribosomal RNA, 115 nt
Filed under: Methylocapsa palsarum
Lineage: Bacteria; Pseudomonadati; Pseudomonadota; Alphaproteobacteria; Hyphomicrobiales; Beijerinckiaceae
Source: RNAcentral
CCUGGUGACUUUUGCGGAGUGAUCAGACCCGAUCCCAUCCCGAACUCGGCCGUCAAACACUUCUGCGCCAAUGGUACUAUGUCUUAAGACCUGGGAGAGUAGGUCGUUGCCAGGC